Molecule: long non-coding RNA, 429 nt
Filed under: Equus caballus (horse)
Lineage: Eukaryota; Metazoa; Chordata; Mammalia; Perissodactyla; Equidae
Description: lncRNA (ENSECAG00000042966.2)
Source: RNAcentral
CAGUCUUUCCAGGUCUGAAGGCCCAGGAAUUACCCAGGAUGGCACUAAGAUCAUCUGGAGUAUCUCCUUAUUGGAUUGAAUUCUUGCUCUCUAUACCUAGGGAUUUAUCAUCAGAGCAGGGAUUUUCUCAGAGUUAUUCAGCCUAGUGGUUAAACUGGGGAAUUAAAUUGUUUCCUGAUCCAACAUCCUAAAGGCAUUCCCUUGGAAAUGGUUUCACAACCAACCAACGUUCCAUGGCUGCCAUGUUGGAGACACCCACGGAGCCAGGAACUGAGAGUGGGCUCUGGGCAACAGCCUGCAAGGAACUUGAGGAUGCUAACAACCACAUGAACUUAGAAGUGCAGCCUUCCCCAGUCAAACCUUGAGAUGCCUACAGACCCUUGACCCCUUGCAUACAGCCUGUGAGAGACCCUGAAACAGAGGACCCAG